Molecule: long non-coding RNA, 548 nt
Organism: Rhopalosiphum padi (bird cherry-oat aphid)
Lineage: Eukaryota; Metazoa; Arthropoda; Insecta; Hemiptera; Aphididae
Exons: 5
Source: RefSeq, a predicted model, not a curated record
UUGUCUGUCCAUCGUUGUAAUCGUAACGUGUUAUAAAAUCUACGCGGUUAAACUGUGGUUUAAGUUAAAGUAGUUAAAUAAACUAUUUAUGUUAUUAUUUCUUAAUUAUUAUUAUGAAUAUUUGAACUAUAAGUUGUGAAAGUUAUUUGUAUCGACAUAUCUAUCAUUCAAGAUGAAGAAAUGUGUGUACGUUUUUUAAAACGAGUGAUUUAUUACCUAAUAAAUAAACGUGUAAUAAUAAAUAUAGCUGUCACCAAGGCCGUACGUAGAGAUGGAUUUUGGGGGUUCAACCUCCCCACAAAAUGUUUUCUGAAUGGCAUUUCACAAUCAUCAUAACUCAUAAGAAAGAAGACGGUCGAUGGAUGGGCCUUUUGUUCUUAAUUUGAUCUGAAAAAAUAGAGAAGGAUGCAGUUUACAACAUUUAAGCUUCCAUUAAUGGGGACACCGCGGGACGAAUGGUGAGCAGACUCAUUGGUUACAUCAUCAUAAUUGAUUGUUGCAGAUAUGGUGAGUGGGCACGUGACCAAUAUAUGGAUAUACGAGCACGU